Molecule: transfer RNA, 93 nt
Filed under: Yimella sp. RIT 621
Lineage: Bacteria; Bacillati; Actinomycetota; Actinomycetes; Micrococcales; Dermacoccaceae
Description: Dermacoccaceae bacterium RIT621 tRNA-Ser
Rfam family: tRNA
About the family: Transfer RNA (tRNA) molecules are approximately 80 nucleotides in length.
Source: RNAcentral
GGAGGCGUCGCCUAGUCAGGUCUAUGGCGCCCGCCUGCUAAGCGGGAGCGGUCUUAAAGCCGCACGCGGGUUCAAAUCCCGCCGCCUCCGCCA